This 438-nucleotide ribosomal RNA is filed under the name uncultured bacterium. Its description in RNAcentral is "bacterial SSU rRNA". It matches the Rfam family "Bacterial small subunit ribosomal RNA", at positions 29 to 514 of the family's 1533-position model. The record is from RNAcentral.
AACGAACGCUGGCGGCAGGCCUAACACAUGCAAGUCGAGCGCCCAGCAAUGGGAGCGGCGCACGGGUGAGUAACACGUGGGAAUAUGCCCUUUGGUUCGGAAUAACGUAGGGAAACUUGCGCUAAUACCGGAUAAGCCCUUACGGGAAAGAUUUAUCGCCAUUGGAGUAGCCCGCGUCUGAUUAGCUAGUUGGUGAGGUAAAAGCCCACCAAGGCAACGAUCAGUAGCUGGUUUGAGAGAACGACCAGCCACACUGGGACUGAGACACGGCCCAGACUCCUACGGGAGGCAGCAGUGGGGAAUCUUGGACAAUGGGGGAAACCCGUGAUCCAGCCAUGCCGCGUGAGUGAUGAAGGCCCUAGGGUUGUAAACUCUUUCGGGCGGGGACGAUAAUGACGGUACCCGCAGAAGAAGCUCCGGCUAACUCCGUGCCAGCAG